This is a non-coding RNA of Podarcis lilfordi (Lilford's wall lizard), 75 nucleotides long. Lineage: Eukaryota; Metazoa; Chordata; Lepidosauria; Squamata; Lacertidae. The record is from the annotation of a GenBank genome assembly.
ACCAACAUAGCUCAGCUGGUAAAGCGCAAGACUCUUCAGUCUCAAUGUUUGUGGGUUCAAGCCCCACGUUGGGCA